RNAcentral lists this ribosomal RNA (490 nucleotides) under uncultured bacterium. Its description in RNAcentral is "partial 16S ribosomal RNA". It matches the Rfam family "Bacterial small subunit ribosomal RNA", at positions 30 to 507 of the family's 1533-position model. The record is from RNAcentral.
AUUGAACGCUGGCGGCAGGCCUAACACAUGCAAGUCGAACGGUAACAGGAAGAAGCUUGCUUCUUUGCUGACGAGUGGCGGACGGGUGAGUAAUGUCUGGGAAACUGCCUGAUGGAGGGGGAUAACUACUGGAAACGGUAGCUAAUACCGCAUAACGUCGCAAGACCAAAGAGGGGGACCUUCGGGCCUCUUGCCAUCGGAUGUGCCCAGAUGGGAUUAGCUAGUAGGUGGGGUAACGGCUCACCUAGGCGACGAUCCCUAGCUGGUCUGAGAGGAUGACAAGCCACACUGGAACAGAGACACGGUCCAGACUCCUACGGGAGGCAGCAGUGGAGAAUAUUGCACAAUGGGCGGAAGCCUGAUGCAGCCAUGCCGCGUGUAUGCAGAAGACCUUCGAGUUGUAAAGUACUUUCAGCGGGGAGGAAGGGAGUAAAGUUAAUACCUUUGCUCAUAGACGUUACCCGCAGAAGAAGCACCGGCUAACUCCGUG